UUACCAUCUGCGUGAGUUCCCUAACUCUCUUUCUCUCUCUCUCUCUCUCUCUCUCUCUCUCUCUCUCUCUCUCUCUCUCUCUAAUGGAUCUCGUGGGUGGAUUCAGAUUCAAUUAGCUAGUUUUCACUUUUCCCUUCCUUUGCCUUUUCUUCUUGGGUUGUUUUUCUCUUCUUAGGGUUGAAUCCCUAUUUUAAUGGAGUAUUUCAGCAAUCGCUCGAAUCUGAUAGUUUUGGCUGGAAUCCGACGUGGGUAUCCUUGAUUUUUGGAAGGCAGACUUCGCCGGCAUCUGGUCGGAGAAAUCAACCCACGCGUACGGAAAUUUGAAUUUUCAAAGUAUUUGCCACUUGCUAGGUUCUAAAUACUAAUACCCAUCCCUUUUGGUUUUCGUGUUGACGUUUCCAUGAUUCCAAAAAUACGUUUCUCCAUUUUUUUUUGUUUAAUAAAAAUAAUAAAUUAAAAAAAUUAAGGGUUUUGUUGUCUUUUGUCUGUGUAAGAGGUCAGCUUCAGUUGAGAAGGGUGGAUUCUUCUCGGGCACCUCACGUCAUCUCUUCAGUUUCCGCCAUUGGUAACUGAUCACGUCAGCUCAUGCUCGUGGCCUUGAUGCCACUUAAGUUGCACACGUACAGAUGUUAAUUAACUGCUCCAAAAAAUGAGCAACAGAUAAAGCGUAAAUCAAAAUUAACGACCCCAUUCUUCUACUUUUUGAAAAAUUUUAUUUGCAUUCUUUUGGUAGCUCCUCCUCGAAUCCUGAGUUGCAAUUGUGCAUGGAAUGAUGAAUGAGGAUAUAUAUGUAUAUAUAUAUAUAUAUAUAUAGAUUGACAGUUGUUGUUUGCGGGUGUAGCAUCAUCAAGAUUCACAUGCAAACGCACGCGUGAUGAUGCAAUCUCCAUCAAUCGAUCUGCUGGUGUUCUGUGUUCUUGAGAAUCUUGAUGAUGCUGCAUCGGCCAUAGACGACUACACAAAUCGAGGGUUUGAUCGAUCGCAAAAGUCUGGAUAUGCUUUUUAUUUUCGGUUUCAUUCUCUCAAUUAUUAUUCACGGACAAAAAUAAAAGGUGGGUAUCUCUGAUUCUUCUUAAAUGAAUUAAUUCACUCAUUGGAGCAUUAAUUAAUCCAUUAAUGGAUUCUGCAGGGCUAGCUUGAUCGAUGUGCGUGUGUUUGUAAUUACUUGUCAUUGUUGAUCUGCAGAGGGCCAGGGAAUUUGUGGGUUAAAUUCUCCAAGGAGGCCAGGUCUGAUCGGAUGAGCGACCAGUCGAGGACGUUACAGAUCUAUGAUUAUUCUUCUGAGAAAAGAAAGCUGCUUUUGUGGAAAUGGUACGUCUUUGCUGAGCUUCUUGUGGGGAUCAGAUCAGAAUUUUUCUAUACAGUGCCUUUAUAUUGUUAAAAGAUGCAUGCUUGCUGCCAGGGGAGAGCUUUGAAAGACUUUCUUCAUGCUUUGCUGGGAAUUUGCUUUGUCCAUCUGAGAAUGAGGCCUUUAAGGGAUCUUGACAUCAUCCACUGCAUACUACUUGUUAUUAUUCGGAAAAUGUUCGACAAGUAGAAGAUGAAUAUGCAAAAUAUGUGUAGGAUCUACUGACUCUGAUGAAUCUUAAUUCGUGCAAACAGCAUCUGUUGCAUAAUACCAUACCUUUUUCUUUUUGAAAGUUAUCCAGUGUUAGGAUUUUCGCUUCAGCCAAACACAAAGCCAGAAGCUAAUUUUUAAUUGCCCGUUUGGGGACUAAAUAUAUGGAUUACACUUGCAGGAAAGAUAACCUGCCUUCCUCCACU
Long non-coding RNA from Malania oleifera, 1764 nucleotides. RefSeq lists it as uncharacterized. NCBI's taxonomy places the organism in Eukaryota, Viridiplantae, Streptophyta, Magnoliopsida, Santalales, Ximeniaceae. The transcript is spliced from 2 exons. The record is from RefSeq and is a predicted model, not a curated record.